CUGGCCCGGGUCCUCCACAUCCCUUCCUUCCACACCCACUCCUUUUAACUCAGUCUGACUAACCAACAGCUGCUUGUCAAUCUCUUCCAGUGCUCUGGGCCACAAUGCAAAGGCGCCUCCUGGUGUUUGCAUUUGAAUAGGAACCCAAGCCCGGAAAACAAUGCGGCUCGUGGAAGGAGUGGGGCGAUUUCGAGCUGAGCCUCUUCCUUGCUUCUUCUGCCCCAUCACGUGGCAGUUCUCCCCGCACCUGCGCAGAAGCCUCAAUUUCCCUUUUUGAAAUGUCACGGUCAUCACCCUCUGAUUCAGGAUCUCCCUACAUAGUGCUGACUGACCUGGAACUCACUAUGUUGACUAGGCUAACCUUGAACUCACAGAGAUCCACCUGGCUGCCAAGUGUUGGGAUUAAGGACUCAGGCAGAGAACCCAUGGACGAGCCGGCACUUUGGCAUCACAAAGCUUUCUAUCCGCGCUCGCGGAUGGAUGGGGGUGCACGGAGACAAACCUGGCAGCCUUGGGGGCUGCAAGCCUCCGUCAGAAGGGUUCAAGUCUGAGUUGAACAGUCUUGGGUGGGUGUGUCCAACAUGUGAUAACAGAAGGAAGCUCUCCCGAGUACCCUGCUGCUGUUUCCUUCCUUUGUUCCCUCUGUCUCUCCCUCCUCCCCCACCAAGGCCAGCAACCCUCUACCCCCACACACACGUGUUCUUGGACUGGGCUCUGUAGUAGACACCCAGCAGGUUGCUUUCUGCAAGAAGAGUGCUGGUUUAACUACUCCCAGCUCCACAAACACAAAAUAAACAAAAUAGCUGCCUUCA
Molecule: long non-coding RNA, 812 nt
Organism: Mesocricetus auratus (golden hamster)
Lineage: Eukaryota; Metazoa; Chordata; Mammalia; Rodentia; Cricetidae
Exons: 3
Source: RefSeq, a predicted model, not a curated record